Molecule: non-coding RNA, 240 nt
Organism: Pelobates cultripes (western spadefoot toad)
Lineage: Eukaryota; Metazoa; Chordata; Amphibia; Anura; Pelobatidae
Source: the annotation of a GenBank genome assembly
UAGGGCUGGGUUAGGAGUAGGGUUAGGUUAGGAGUAGGGUUAGGGUUAGGGUAAGGUUAGGAGUAGUGGGAAGGGUUAGGAGUAGGGUUAGGUUAGGAGUAGGGCUACUCCUAACCCAACCCUAACCCUACUCCUUACCCAACCCUAACCCAAACCCUACUCCUAACCCAACCCUACCCUUAACCCUAACCCAACCCUACCCUUAACCCUACACUAACCCUACCCCUAACCCUACCCUAA